This 302-nucleotide ribosomal RNA is filed under the name uncultured fungus. RNAcentral describes it as "eukaryotic LSU rRNA". The stretch from base 1 to 113 matches the Rfam family "5.8S ribosomal RNA", at positions 42 to 154 of the family's 154-position model. Lineage: Eukaryota; Fungi. The record is from RNAcentral.
AACGCAGCGAAGGGCGAUAAGUAAUGUGAAUUGCAGAAUUCAGUGAAUCAUCGAAUCUUUGAGCGCACAUUGCGCCCCUUGGUAUUCCGAGGGGCAUGCCCGUUCGAGCGUCAUUAUAACCCCUCAAGCCUAGCUUGGUGUUGGGGCCUGCUGUUACCAGCAGCCCUUAAAAUCAGUGGCGGUGCCGUCUGGCUCUAAGCGUAGUAAUACUUCUCGCUACAGGGUCCCGGUGGAUGCUUGCCAUCAACCCCUAAUUUUCUAUGGUUGACCUCGGAUCGGGUAGGGAUACCCGCUGAACUUAA